Molecule: unclassified non-coding RNA, 384 nt
Filed under: Balsamorhiza sericea
Lineage: Eukaryota; Viridiplantae; Streptophyta; Magnoliopsida; Asterales; Asteraceae
Description: partial 3' external transcribed spacer
Source: RNAcentral
UUUGGCUUGCGCAACAACUGCCACCCGACUUACCUCUUCAGUUGCUUACCUAGGUGUUUAUAUCACCUAUGCGGAUGGGGUUUCCUGUGUUGCCUACCUAAGUCAUGGUAUUGUCUUGAUCGAAUGAAUUAGCCUUCGUCUUUUGUCAUCCGCUUGGCAUGAGAUGAACCUUGAAGCUAUCUCUUUGAUCCACAUCAUUAGUGCUUGCAUUAAUGUUGUGGCCCAUUGAGCAUUGCUUGUUAUCAUGGAUAUGGAACCUGAUGUGGGCAUAGGGUCUCAUGGAGCCCUUGUUCUGCCCUUGUUUAGCGUUCACGCUUCUCUUUAAAUGACCGCCCAUCCCGCAUGGGCUUGUACCGGCGGGUGGGAUAUGUCAAAGAGGAAUGC